Molecule: long non-coding RNA, 1108 nt
Organism: Entelurus aequoreus (snake pipefish)
Lineage: Eukaryota; Metazoa; Chordata; Actinopteri; Syngnathiformes; Syngnathidae
Exons: 3
Source: RefSeq, a predicted model, not a curated record
GCUCAGGGAGAUAACUGUGCUUAUCUUUGUGUGUUUUCUCAACAUGUUUGUAGUAAACUUUUGAAGUACUGAGAUGUCGUCCACACGUUCCGUGCCUUCUAAUGCAUCUGGGACAGAACCCAACCCCCAGAACAAUCUCUUUCACCAUCGGGAAGAAAGUGCUCGUUGCUAUGCUAAAUGAAGCUAGCUAUUAGCUACUAGAAGCCAUUACAAGAUUAGCGAAUCCUCAAUUCUUGUAUAAAGAAGGAGGAUACUAAUAUACGUGUAACGGGUAUGAGAAAUACUUUGAUUAUUUGAGUGAAAUUCCUGCUGAAGUAUGUAUAUUGUUUUUUCACGCAAUGAGAGGUUCAAUUGUGGCAUCUGCUGGUACCUAAAAGUCUAUAAAUAUGACUGCAGAACCGGAAGCUGUUAGCAGACCUCCUGCACUCUGCUAAAGGCGGGCCCUCGCAGCCUUCACCCUGUCUGCCGUGCUGAAGUCAUCUCCAACAAUAACUCUUCCCUGCUUGAAAUUCUGCUUUGAAAGGACAUCGCUGGCAAAAGACUGCUUGGAAAUAGCCAUUUAAGAAGCCUUGGUCUGGGGCGAUGGCGCUGGAUAAAAAGGAUUGCCUUUGACUCAGAGAAGAGGGAGUAAAAAAAAAAACGAAGAAAAAUGGAGGCUAUGAUUGCGGCCAUCAUAAACACAGAGACAGCCUCCGAGAGAGAUGAGCCGAGAGAGAGAUGGGGAUCAAGUUAAUAAGAAGGCGAGUAUACCGUAUCUACUGAGGCUCUUGGUGAAGGUGGAUGAAUUGGAGAUGUUAUAGGCAGAGUUCUGCUUUGGCACCAGAGCGAUCACUGAGCCAUCUGUAACCUGCACAUCAGAUGAAAGCCCCCAAAUAAGGUUAUUACGCCACAUCCUCAGUGCAAAAACAUUUUUUUAACGCAUUUAGGUACCUGAUAGUGAGCCAGUGUGUUGAGUCUCUUCCAGUCGUUGUCGAUCUUUGUCGUGACGUCUUCGUCCUGCAGAAUAAUUCGAGCCAUUCUGCCUUGACGCCAUUCUUCAGACGGCAUUUAGAGUGGAGAAGAACGGAAGGAAAUAUGCACUCGUCAAAUGAACCAGUAAAUAUCUAAG